ACGGAAGGCAGCAGUGAGGAAUAUUGGUCAAUGGGCGGAAGCCUGAACCAGCCAAGUCGCGUGAAGGAUGAAGGUAUUAUGUAUUGUAAACUUCUUUAGCAGUGGAGUAAUAAGGGAGUCGUGACUCCUGAUGCAAGUACACUGAAAAUAAGGAUCGGCUAACUCCGUGCCAGCAGCCGCGGUAAUACGGAGGAUCCGAGCGUUAUCCGGAUUUAUUGGGUUUAAAGGGUGCGUAGGCGGACGCGUAAGUCAGUGGUGAAAUAUGUCGGCUCAACCGGCAGGCUGCCAUUGAUACUGCGCGACUAGAGUCCAAACGGCGCCGGCGGAAUAUGUCAUGUAGCGGUGAAAUGCUUAGAUAUGACAUAGAACACCGAUCGCGAAGGCAGCUGGCGAGGAUGCGACUGACGCUGAGGCACGAAGGCGUGGGGAUCGAACAGGAUUAGAUACCCUGGUA
Molecule: ribosomal RNA, 454 nt
Filed under: uncultured Paludibacter sp.
Lineage: Bacteria; Pseudomonadati; Bacteroidota; Bacteroidia; Bacteroidales; Paludibacteraceae
Description: partial 16S ribosomal RNA
Rfam family: Bacterial small subunit ribosomal RNA
Source: RNAcentral